RNA transcript from Syzygium oleosum, 3987 nucleotides. It is a transcript of the gene named peroxisomal ATPase PEX6, with no coding region annotated. NCBI's taxonomy places the organism in Eukaryota, Viridiplantae, Streptophyta, Magnoliopsida, Myrtales, Myrtaceae. The transcript is spliced from 17 exons. The record is from RefSeq and is a predicted model, not a curated record.
UCCGACGAAACAUACGGUUAUUCCGCCGCUGCUCGGCUUCGCUCCUCCGUGCCCGAGAAAGAAAUGGUGGAGCGGAGGAGGAGGCCUCUCCUCCUUUCUUCCACCAAAUCCCUUGUCGAUUCCGUGCUCGCCUCCUCGUCCCGCCUCGAGGCGGCCGAGCUCCCGCCGGAGCUGAGGCUGCCCGCCGGAAUCCUCCGGCUCGCGGGGGAGAGGGCCCAGGAGACGGACCCGAGGCUGGCGAAGCUGGACGACGCGGCCUUGGUCGGGCUCCCGACGUCCGCUCUGAAGCGACUGUCCAUCGCUUCUGGCUCGCUGGUGCAUAUAAGGAAUCUCGACACGAACUCUGCGAGAAUGGCUCAAGUAGUUGUUCUUGAUCCUCCGUCCGCACCCGAGCACUCACAUCAAGUUAAGCUUCCCUUUUCCCAGUGCGAGAAGGAAUUGUUGAUCUUCCCGUCGUGUAGCUUCCCUCCAACUAAGCCAGCUUUGCCAGACCGCGAAGUAGCCUACUUGUCUCCUUUCUUAGCAUUUAACCUCGGUUUGCACCUAUCAUGCUUCAGAACUCUAGUUCACCACGGAGGAGACACUUUAACAUCAUUCUUCGGAGCUAGGGUUGAUAAUGGAAUGUCGGAACAGGGUGGUGAAGUUCCGGUAAUUGACGUGGAGCUUCAACCUCCGGGACAAUUACCAAACUACGCGUCACACUUGCGGGUUUCUUUUGUGAAGAUACCAGAAUGUGGCACCAUUGAAUCUCUUAAAGGAAGUUCAUCAAUUGAAGCUGAAGCUCGCCAAGAAAUGAUUGAUCUCGCAUUACAGAACUACUUUGAAAUAGAUAGACAUCUAGCGAUAGGUGAUGUUUUCAGUAUUAAGAUUAAAUGGACUUGCAACUCAUUUAUUUGCAUUCGCUGCAGCCAAAAGUUGCCAAAUGAUGAUGUCAUCUACUUCAAGGUGGUGGCUAUGGAACCAUCAGACCACCCUGUUCUUCGAGUCAACCGCACUAAAACUGCCCUUGUUCUUGGAGGGAAUGUCCCAUCUGGCGUUCCUCCAGAUUUACUUUGUGACCGCCCAAAAACAUUUGCACCCUUGCAAGGAGAUACCGUGAAGAUUUUGGCCUCCGUGCUCACACCAUCUCUGUGUUCAUCAGCGCUUGCUGUUAAAUUUAGAGUGGCUGUGUUGUUGUCUGGUUUGACAGGAUGUGGGAAGAGAACAAUAGUUAGGUUUGUUGCUCGCCGAUUGGGUCUGCAUGUAGUGGAGUUCAGCUGUAACAGUCUAAUGUCUUCCUCUGAGAGAAAAACAUCCAUUGCCCUAGCUGAAGCAUUUAAUACUGCACAAAGAUAUUCACCGUCAAUACUUCUCCUCCGCCACUUUGAUGCUUUUCGGAAUUUGGGAUCUAAUGAAGGUUUACCAAAUGAUCAAAAUGGCAUCUCUUCUGAACUUGCAUCAGUCAUAAGGGAAUUCACUACCCAAGAUAAUGAAGAUGAGGAUGUUUAUGCCUCAGAAAACUUGAAUGGUGAUUUGCAGUCUGCAAAUACUUAUGCACAUAAGGUGUUCUUAGUUGCAACUGCUGAUAGCACUGAAGGCCUACCUCCUACCAUUAGACGUUGCUUCAGUCAUGAGAUAACUAUGGGUCCUUUAACUGAGGAACAAAGGGUCGAGAUGCUUAGCCAGUCACUGAAGGGCAUUUCUGAGCUGCUGCCUAAUAGUAGUCCAGAAGAUUUUGUAAGAGAUAUAGUCGGACAGACAUCUGGCUUUAUUCCCAGGGACCUGAACGCUUUAAUUGCUGAUGCUGGCGCAAACAUGAUACCAGGGAGCAUUUUGCAUAAAAAUGAAGUUGAUUCUGGGGAUUUUCAUAACAAAUCUGCAGAAGACAAAACUGUGCCGGAAAAUGAUGUAAAAGAGGCUGUAGAUCAGGUUCUCAGGAAAGAUGAUAUGGCUAAAGCCUUGGAACGGUCAAAGAAGAGGAAUGCAGUGGCUUUGGGCACUCCUAAAGUUCCUAAUGUGAAGUGGGAAGAUGUCGGAGGUCUUGAGGACGUAAAAAAAUCAAUUUUGGAUACUGUUCAGUUGCCUUUACUCCACAAGGAUUUGUUUUCUUCGGGAUUGCGCAAGCGAUCUGGUGUUCUUCUAUAUGGUCCUCCUGGAACCGGAAAAACCUUGUUAGCAAAGGCUGUGGCAACAGAGUGUUCCCUGAACUUCCUUAGUGUAAAAGGACCUGAGCUUAUUAAUAUGUACAUUGGAGAGUCAGAGAAAAAUGUCCGAGAUAUUUUCCAGAAGGCAAGAUCUGCUCGUCCUUGUGUUAUCUUCUUUGAUGAACUUGAUUCUCUGGCUCCAGCUCGUGGUGCUUCUGGAGAUUCUGGUGGCGUAAUGGAUAGAGUUGUUUCUCAGAUGCUUGCGGAAAUCGACGGAUUAAAUGAUGACACGCAGGAUUUGUUUAUAAUUGGGGCUAGCAACAGACCAGAUCUUAUUGAUCCAGCACUUCUAAGGCCAGGUCGAUUUGACAAAUUACUCUAUGUUGGGGUCAACACUGAUGCAUCUUAUCGUGAACGGGUCCUGAAAGCACUCACAAGGAAGUUUAAAUUGCAUGAAGAUGUAUCUCUAUACUCCAUAGCAAAGAAAUGUCCACCAAAUUUUACUGGUGCAGACAUGUAUGCCCUGUGUGCAGAUGCUUGGUUUCAUGCUGCAAAGAGCAAGGUUUUGAGUUCAGACGUAGAUUCUUCUUCCAAGGACCUUGCAGCCGACUCUGUUGUGGUUGGAUAUGAAGAUUUUGUAGAGGGGUUUGUCUACAAUAAAAAAAUUCCACUGUUCUACAGGGCUUAAUUCAGGGACUCACAUAAAAAGAAUAAGAUGAAGGGGGUUCGAAGCCAUAAAAAAUAUGGUGCCUGAUGCCCCUCAAAUUUGGCUUGAAGAAGACAAAAAUGGGGAUUUAGUGAUGAAAAAUGAAAUAGAAACUUUGAUUGACCAACUCUUUAGGAAUGAUAACAGGAAGUCCCUUUCAAAGUAAAUGAUUUAUUUGACUGCUCUGAAAGAUUUUAACGGCUACAGGACUGAGCAGCUCAACUUAAGCUGGUAUCCACGAAAAAACAAACUUAAGCUUAUAUUGAACAUGCAAAAUGUUCAGAAACAUAUUCUGAGAUUAAAGAGGAAACAUAAGCUGUUAUGGUUUUCUAUUAUUUCAAUGCGUAAUGUUCGCUAACGUUGAAUCUCGAUACCUUGGCAAAAGAGAAUGUAGCAGGCUCCUUUUCAGCUGCAAAAGGAGAAGAGGGUUUUCUCAGACAAAAGAGAAAGGGAGGACCUAGGAUUAUGAAUUCUAGGGUACUGCAACAACCUCUGAAUGUGACAUCAGUCAGAGAAAUUUGGUGGCUCCAUAAAAUAACUCUGACACGGGGUGUCCAAGUAAAUUUUCCCAACAUAGGGUUAUCCCUGCAAUUUUGUCCGAGACAGGAGGAGUGUACCGUGUUCUACCCUAGGUCUUGAGAUCUUUGGCCAACUGUACUCCAGGAGUAGUUGUCUUGUUUGCACCCAUUUGAUUAUAUCUGAUGUGGCAAAGUUAUCCAUAGUUUCAUUAGGUAAAAAAUCUAUCUAUCAAUUAAUCCUAUAUAAACUAAAGAAAUCUGAACAUGAAUGACUUUAGCUUGGAAGCCAAUAAUUGUGAUGGUAUGACAUUCCCUUGAAAAAGUAAGACCAAAGUUCAAUGAAUUGAAGUUUUCUUUUUUUGGGAUCAUGUCGAAAGAGAAUAAUUUGCCACUUCCACAGUAAUGGCGAUGCUUCCCAAGACCCUGGUUUAAGCCCUUCCAUUGAAAAAUUUCGCUUUUAUCAACAUGAUCUUGAGUAUUUGGUAGUUUAAUAUUAUGAAAUUCACUAUUCACUAGUCAUUGAUAUGCAUGGCAGGUGGUGCCUCUUCCUGAACAGAAAUUUCAAGUCUUGGGAGAACUCUCCCCUUCCCUCUCCAUGGCCGAGCUUAAGAAGUACGAGUUGCUGAGGGAUCAGUUUGAA